GGAGGGGUGACCGAGAGGCCGAAGGUGGCAGUCUUGAAAACUGUUGGGGUAACCCCCCCGUGGGUUCGAAUCCCACCCCCUCCG
RNAcentral lists this transfer RNA (84 nucleotides) under Actinomycetota bacterium. RNAcentral describes it as "tRNA-Ser". It matches the Rfam family "tRNA". Rfam says of the family: Transfer RNA (tRNA) molecules are approximately 80 nucleotides in length. Their secondary structure includes four short double-helical elements and three loops (D, anti-codon, and T loops). Further hydrogen bonds mediate the characteristic L-shaped molecular structure. tRNAs have two regions of fundamental functional importance: the anti-codon, which is responsible for specific mRNA codon recognition, and the 3' end, to which the tRNAs corresponding amino acid is attached (by aminoacyl-tRNA synthetases). tRNAs cope with the degeneracy of the genetic code in two manners: having more than one tRNA (with a specific anti-codon) for a particular amino acid; and 'wobble' base-pairing, i.e. permitting non-standard base-pairing at the 3rd anti-codon position. Lineage: Bacteria; Bacillati; Actinomycetota. The record is from RNAcentral.